CCCUGACAGUUGCCUAACGCAGCUGACACUAGCCACGACAGGAGAUUCUCAUG
RNAcentral lists this non-coding RNA (53 nucleotides) under unclassified sequences. Its description in RNAcentral is "Mu-gpT-DE RNA". It matches the Rfam family "Mu-gpT-DE RNA". The record is from Rfam by way of RNAcentral.